CCUACGGGAGGCUGCAGUGGGGAAUAUUGCACAAUGGGGGAAACCCUGAUGCAGCGACGCCGCGUGAGUGAAGAAGGAUUUCGGGAUGUAAAGCUCUAUCAGCAGGGAAGAAAAUGACGGUACGUGAGUAAGAAGCCCCGGCUAACUACGUGCCAGCAGCCGCGGUAAUACGUAGGGGGCAAGCGUUAUCCGGAUUUACUGGGUGUAAAGGGAGCGUAGACGGCAGCACACGUCUGGCGUGAAAUGCCGGGGCUUAACCCCGGAACUGCUUUGGAAACUGUGCAGCUAGAGUGCAGGAGAGGUAAGUGGAAUUCCUCGUGUAGCGGUGAACUGCGUAGAUAUUAGGAGGAACUCCAGUGGCGAAGGCGGCUUACUGGACUGUACCUGACGUUCAGGCUCGAAAGCGUGGGGAGCAAACAGGAUUAGAUACCCGUGUAGUC
Molecule: ribosomal RNA, 440 nt
Filed under: uncultured bacterium
Lineage: Bacteria
Description: partial 16S ribosomal RNA
Rfam family: Bacterial small subunit ribosomal RNA
Source: RNAcentral